RNAcentral lists this small RNA (82 nucleotides) under Arenibacter nanhaiticus. Its description in RNAcentral is "Flavo-1 RNA". It matches the Rfam family "Flavo-1 RNA". The record is from RNAcentral. Lineage: Bacteria; Pseudomonadati; Bacteroidota; Flavobacteriia; Flavobacteriales; Flavobacteriaceae.
UUGCAUUACUGAUUGCAGCGGCAUCCUUUUUAUAAGCCGAAGAAUGAGGCAUAAAAAGAUAUAGCGGAAAGCAGGUGCCACU